RNAcentral lists this ribosomal RNA (451 nucleotides) under uncultured bacterium. RNAcentral describes it as "partial 16S ribosomal RNA". It matches the Rfam family "Bacterial small subunit ribosomal RNA", at positions 354 to 796 of the family's 1533-position model. The record is from RNAcentral.
GUGGGGAAUAUUGGACAAUGGGCGAAAGCCUGAUCCAGCCAUGCCGCGUGUGUGAAGAAGGUCUUCGGAUUGUAAAGCACUUUAAGCGAGGAGGAGGCUACCGAGAUUAAUACUCUUGGAUAGUGGACGUUACUCGCAGAAUAAGCACCGGCUAACUCUGUGCCAGCAGCCGCGGUAAUACAGAGGGUGCAAGCGUUAAUCGGAUUUACUGGGCGUAAAGCGCGCGUAGGUGGUUUUGUAAGUUGGAGGUGAAAUCCCCGGGCUCAACCUGGGAACUGCCUCCAAAACUGCAUGACUAGAGUACGGUAGAGGGUAGUGGAAUUUCCUGUGUAGCGGUGAAAUGCGUAGAUAUAGGAAGGAACACCAGUGGCGAAGGCGACUACCUGGACUGAUACUGACACUGAGGUGCGAAAGCGUGGGGAGCAAACAGGAUUAGAUACCCGAGUAGUCC